This 118-nucleotide ribosomal RNA is filed under the name Escherichia coli. Its description in RNAcentral is "partial 23S ribosomal RNA". The stretch from base 1 to 100 matches the Rfam family "Bacterial large subunit ribosomal RNA", at positions 2826 to 2925 of the family's 2925-position model. The record is from RNAcentral. RNAcentral also lists the same sequence under 5 other names. Lineage: Bacteria; Pseudomonadati; Pseudomonadota; Gammaproteobacteria; Enterobacterales; Enterobacteriaceae.
CCUGAAGGAACGUUGAAGACGACGACGUUGAUAGGCCGGGUGUGUAAGCGCAGCGAUGCGUUGAGCUAACCGGUACUAAUGAACCGUGAGGCUUAACCUUACAACGCCGAAGGUGUUU